UUUGUUCAAAAAUUCCCUAAGAAAAAUGUUCCAUGCUUAUGCUAGCAGAUGUAGACUAGACAAAAUUAGUGGAUUUACUUUCAUUAGCUUCGAACCAAAAGGUUUAGCGUUACUGCUUGAUUGACUCAUUAUUAACAAGUUGGAUUAGAAUUCUAAUAUUCAGCCACUAAUGAACUUACAUCUUGAAUUUCUGUAUGGGUCUAUUGCAGACAUCUUCUGUUCUUUGAUAUGGAAUCUAACCACAAAGGAACAGGAAGGCUAUCUAGGCAUCUUCUUUUGACAAUUUCAGUCACUUCUUUAGGUAAAUUCAAAGCAGCAGCCACCAAAUGAGAACAAUUCUAUCAAGGUAAAAAAUGGGAAUCCAUCCGUGUUACUUUGGAAGGAAAGCGGAGAUAUGAAUCCAAAAUCUU
Molecule: long non-coding RNA, 410 nt
Filed under: Gossypium barbadense (sea-island cotton)
Lineage: Eukaryota; Viridiplantae; Streptophyta; Magnoliopsida; Malvales; Malvaceae
Description: long non-coding RNA (GBAR_LNC009860)
Source: RNAcentral